AGCGAUGAAGGCCUUCGGGUUGUAAAGCUCUGUGGGGAGGGAAGAAUAAGCCUAGGCUAAUACCACUAGGUGAUGACGGUACCUCCUUAGCAAGCACCGGCUAACUCUGUGCCAGCAGCCGCGGUAAGACAGAGGGUGCAAACGUUGUUCGGAAUUACUGGGCGUAAAGCGCGUGUAGGCGGCUAUGCAAGUCGGGCGUGAAAUCCCACGGCUCAACCGUGGAAGUGCACUCGAAACUGCGUAGCUAGAGUCCCGGAGAGGAAGGUGGAAUACUUGGUGUAGAGGUGAAAUUCGUAGAUAUCAAGUGGAACACCGGUGGCGAAGGCGGCCUUCUGGACGGUGACUGACGCUGAGACGCGAAAGCGUGGGGAGCAAACAGGAUUAGAUACCCUGGUAGUCCACGCCGUAAACGAUGAGUGCUAGGUGUCACGGGCUUUGACCCUCGUGGUGCCGAAGCUAACGCGUUAAGCACUCCGCCUGGGGAGUACGGCCGCAAGGCUA
Molecule: ribosomal RNA, 501 nt
Filed under: uncultured bacterium
Lineage: Bacteria
Description: bacterial SSU rRNA
Rfam family: Bacterial small subunit ribosomal RNA
Source: RNAcentral